This is a non-coding RNA of Onychostoma macrolepis, 1123 nucleotides long. NCBI's taxonomy places the organism in Eukaryota, Metazoa, Chordata, Actinopteri, Cypriniformes, Cyprinidae. The record is from the annotation of a RefSeq genome assembly.
AUAUCUGCUAUAGUUAACACAAGGGAACACCCCUCCAUUUAGCAAAUAAAAUAAAAAUAAAUAAAAAUAAAGUUGACACACAAAAUUAACUUAAAAGAUACUUCUCCAAGUAUUCAUAAUGUUUUAUAAAGCAACCAUGUUCAAAGAGGUGAUAAAAUAAUAGUUAGAUGCAUUUGCUUUUUGCCAGGUUGUGAAGCAGAUGAGCUUUAUAUUUUUGAGGUAGUUGGUUGAACCUGACAGAGACUGUGUCAUUUAAGCUGAGAAUGCAAGCACACAUACAAAUAUCCAUGAGUAUAUCCAGUGGGUAAACAUCCUUAUAACAAACAGAUAAGUAUCGUGGUGAUCAAGCAUUUGUUCAAAAAAACUAUUUACUGUAUAUCAAUAUUAUCUUGACAAAGAAUUUUGAAACACUUUGAAACAUUCAUGUUUAUUUUAUUGGUUCAUUAAUAAUUCAUCUUUGUAUCUUUCUUCAGAUUCAUCUGUUAAAUUAAUAAAUAUAUACUGUAUAUAACUCCUUGCAGCAAAAGUUUCCUCUAAGCAGUGGCAGAGCAAAAACAUGAGAAGCAGCAGAAGGUAUCAUCACACAGAAAGCAGGAAGUUCCAGUGUGUUUGAGUGAAUCUGCAGAGACUCACAGUAACACAGAUCUACAGCUCAGAGCACAGACAACAUUAACACACACCUGAUCUGACAGUCAACAUGGAAAAACACCUGCUUCUGCUUUUAAUUAUGAUUUCAGGUGUGAUGAGUGCAGACCAGAUUGGACCAAAUCAAGAAACUAGUGUCAUAAAAAAGGAAGAUGAGACUGUGACCCUCAGCUGCUCAUAUGAUACAAGCAACAGCUAUGCUUAUCUGUACUGGUACAGACAGUAUCUUAACGAAGAGCUUCGCUAUUUGUUAUUCAAGCCUGCACGAUCAGCUACUACAAGUGGGAGCCCCGAUGAUCCUCGCUUUCAGUCGACUACAUCACACACAUCCACUGAACUCACUAUUACUGGUGUAACUCUGUCAGAUUCAGCUCUCUAUUAUUGUGCUCUAAGAGUUGGAGCCCAGUGAUACAAAGUCUAUGUGAAGCCGUACAAAAACUCAAAUUCAUUUUCCCCUUUGAUGUCAAGCCAUAUCAAA